This 433-nucleotide ribosomal RNA is filed under the name uncultured bacterium. Its description in RNAcentral is "partial 16S ribosomal RNA". It matches the Rfam family "Bacterial small subunit ribosomal RNA", at positions 29 to 507 of the family's 1533-position model. The record is from RNAcentral.
AACGAACGCUGGCGGCAUGCCUAACACAUGCAAGUCGAACGAGACCUUCGGGUCUAGUGGCGCACGGGUGCGUAACGCGUGGGAACCUGCCUUUAGGUUCGGAAUAACUCAGAGAAAUUUGAGCUAAUACCGGAUGAUGUCUUCGGACCAAAGAUUUAUCGCCUUUAGAUGGGCCCGCGUUGGAUUAGCUAGUUGGUGGGGUAAAGGCCUACCAAGGCGACGAUCCAUAGCUGGUCUGAGAGGAAGAUCAGCCACACUGGGACUGAGACACGGCCCAGACUCCUACGGGAGGCAGCAGUGGGGAAUAUUGGACAAUGGGCGAAAGCCUGAUCCAGCAAUGCCGCGUGAGUGAUGAAGGCCUUAGGGUUGUAAAGCUCUUUUACCCGAGAUGAUAAUGACAGUAUCGGGAGAAUAAGCUCCGGCUAACUCCGUG